RNAcentral lists this ribosomal RNA (546 nucleotides) under Fusarium sp. ZH116. RNAcentral describes it as "eukaryotic LSU rRNA". The stretch from base 219 to 372 matches the Rfam family "5.8S ribosomal RNA". The record is from RNAcentral. Lineage: Eukaryota; Fungi; Ascomycota; Sordariomycetes; Hypocreales; Nectriaceae.
UCUUGGUCAUUUAGAGGAAGUAAAAGUCGUAACAAGGUCUCCGUUGGUGAACCAGCGGAGGGAUCAUUACCGAGUUUACAACUCCCAAACCCCUGUGAACAUACCUAUACGUUGCCUCGGCGGAUCAGCCCGCGCCCCGUAAAACGGGACGGCCCGCCCGAGGACCCCUAAACUCUGUUUUUAGUGGAACUUCUGAGUAAAACAAACAAAUAAAUCAAAACUUUCAACAACGGAUCUCUUGGUUCUGGCAUCGAUGAAGAACGCAGCAAAAUGCGAUAAGUAAUGUGAAUUGCAGAAUUCAGUGAAUCAUCGAAUCUUUGAACGCACAUUGCGCCCGCCAGUAUUCUGGCGGGCAUGCCUGUUCGAGCGUCAUUUCAACCCUCAAGCUCAGCUUGGUGUUGGGACUCGCGGUAACCCGCGUUCCCCAAAUCGAUUGGCGGUCACGUCGAGCUUCCAUAGCGUAGUAAUCAUACACCUCGUUACUGGUAAUCGUCGCGGCCACGCCGUUAAACCCCAACUUCUGAAUGUUGACCUCGGAUCAGGUAG